Molecule: ribosomal RNA, 235 nt
Filed under: uncultured bacterium
Lineage: Bacteria
Description: partial 16S ribosomal RNA
Rfam family: Bacterial small subunit ribosomal RNA
Source: RNAcentral
UACGAAGGGGCUAGCGUUGCUCGGAAUUACUGGGCGUAAAGCGCACGUAGGCGGCUUUCUAAGUCGGGGUGAAAUCCUGGAGCUCAACUCCAGACUGCCUUCGAUACUGGAGAGCUCGAGUCCGGGAGAGGUGAGUGGAACUGCGAGUGUAGAGGUGAAAUUCGGUAGAUAUUCGCAAGAACACCAGUGGCGAAGGCGGACUCGCUGGCCCGGUACUCGACGCUGAGGUGCGAAA